RNAcentral lists this small RNA (179 nucleotides) under Malassezia sympodialis ATCC 42132. The record is from RNAcentral. Lineage: Eukaryota; Fungi; Basidiomycota; Malasseziomycetes; Malasseziales; Malasseziaceae.
GCAGAGCGCGUAUAGCCCUGUGGCGUGUACGAAGAAGAGGUACAUGAUAUUUGCUACUACGGAGGUCUGUGCUUGCAUGGAUCGAUGAGAACAAUGUAACCACCAAGAUCACUGAGUGCUCAGCAGCACAGUGGCACGCGCGUCUCUGCCCCUCGGUCGCAUAGAACGGACUAACGCAU